GCUUUGGUGAUGGAGCUUGAGUUGGAGGAACUGGAAACGUGGGUCUAGGUGGGACUGCUUCCCUUAGGCAACCAUGUGACUAUCAACACCAGUAGAGACAUUUCAGA
This 107-nucleotide long non-coding RNA is filed under the name Monodelphis domestica (gray short-tailed opossum). Its description in RNAcentral is "lncRNA (ENSMODG00000045277.1)". Lineage: Eukaryota; Metazoa; Chordata; Mammalia; Didelphimorphia; Didelphidae. The record is from RNAcentral.